Molecule: ribosomal RNA, 1325 nt
Filed under: Klebsiella variicola
Lineage: Bacteria; Pseudomonadati; Pseudomonadota; Gammaproteobacteria; Enterobacterales; Enterobacteriaceae
Description: bacterial SSU rRNA
Rfam family: Bacterial small subunit ribosomal RNA
Source: RNAcentral
GUAGCACAGAGAGCUGCUCUCGGGUGACGAGCGGCGACGGGUGAGUAAUGUCUGGGAAACUGCCUGAUGGAGGGGGAUAACUACUGGAAACGGUAGCUAAUACCGCAUAACGUCGCAAGACCAAAGUGGGGGACCUUCGGGCCUCAUGCCAUCAGAUGUGCCCAGAUGGGAUUAGCUGGUAGGUGGGGUAACGGCUCACCUAGGCGACGAUCCCUAGCUGGUCUGAGAGGAUGACCAGCCACACUGGAACUGAGACACGGUCCAGACUCCUACGGGAGGCAGCAGUGGGGAAUAUUGCACAAUGGGCGCAAGCCUGAUGCAGCCAUGCCGCGUGUGUGAAGAAGGCCUUCGGGUUGUAAAGCACUUUCAGCGGGGAGGAAGGCGGUGAGGUUAAUAACCUCAUCGAUUGACGUUACCCGCAGAAGAAGCACCGGCUAACUCCGUGCCAGCAGCCGCGGUAAUACGGAGGGUGCAAGCGUUAAUCGGAAUUACUGGGCGUAAAGCGCACGCAGGCGGUCUGUCAAGUCGGAUGUGAAAUCCCCGGGCUCAACCUGGGAACUGCAUUCGAAACUGGCAGGCUAGAGUCUUGUAGAGGGGGGUAGAAUUCCAGGUGUAGCGGUGAAAUGCGUAGAGAUCUGGAGGAAUACCGGUGGCGAAGGCGGCCCCCUGGACAAAGACUGACGCUCAGGUGCGAAAGCGUGGGGAGCAAACAGGAUUAGAUACCCUGGUAGUCCACGCUGUAAACGAUGUCGAUUUGGAGGUUGUGCCCUUGAGGCGUGGCUUCCGGAGCUAACGCGUUAAAUCGACCGCCUGGGGAGUACGCCCGCAAGGUUAAAACUCAAAUGAAUUGACGGGGGCCCGCACAAGCGGUGGAGCAUGUGGUUUAAUUCGAUGCAACGCGAAGAACCUUACCUGGUCUUGACAUCCACAGAACUUUCCAGAGAUGGAUUGGUGCCUUCGGGAACUGUGAGACAGGUGCUGCAUGGCUGUCGUCAGCUCGUGUUGUGAAAUGUUGGGUUAAGUCCCGCAACGAGCGCAACCCUUAUCCUUUGUUGCCAGCGGUUAGGCCGGGAACUCAAAGGAGACUGCCAGUGAUAAACUGGAGGAAGGUGGGGAUGACGUCAAGUCAUCAUGGCCCUUACGACCAGGGCUACACACGUGCUACAAUGGCAUAUACAAAGAGAAGCGACCUCGCGAGAGCAAGCGGACCUCAUAAAGUAUGUCGUAGUCCGGAUUGGAGUCUGCAACUCGACUCCAUGAAGUCGGAAUCGCUAGUAAUCGUAGAUCAGAAUGCUACGGUGAAUACGUUCCCGGGCCCUUGUACA